RNAcentral lists this ribosomal RNA (1665 nucleotides) under Triticum aestivum (bread wheat). Its description in RNAcentral is "partial small subunit ribosomal RNA". The record is from RNAcentral. Lineage: Eukaryota; Viridiplantae; Streptophyta; Magnoliopsida; Poales; Poaceae.
AUGAGGAACUCGGUGUCGGACCAGAGCUUCGUCAUGGAGAGCGACGACGAGGAGCACCGCAGCGAGGAGGGGGAGGAGGAGUCGGACGGGUCGUCGUCGUGCGGGAGCCCGCGGGUGGUCGAGGCCGCCGCCGGUGGCCACCCCGGCUCCUACGCCACCCACCAGUGGCCGCAGAGCUACAGGCAGUCGAUGGACAUAUACAGCAGCGUGCAGUCCCCGAGCCUGAGCGGGUUCCUGGGCACGCCCACGCUCAGCAGGCUCUCCAGCUCCUUCCUCGCCACCUCCUUCCGCGGGAAGCCGCCACUGGAGAUCGUCAAGCCGCUCCUGCCCACCACCCUGAUCGCCACCGAAGACGACCAUGUCGAUGAUGCCCGGAAGAGCUCUCACCAGUAUCUGCCGCCGUCCAGGAAGGCGUCGUCCCUGUUCAAGAUCCCCGAGGACCAGAAGCCUCUUGGUGGUGGGGGUGGCCAUGAGGUGGGGCCCUACCGUCAGUGCUCCUACACUCAGGGCGUCAUGAAUGGAGUGAAUGUCCUGUGUGGUGUGGGGAUCCUGUCAACACCUUAUGCCGUCAGGCAGGGUGGCUGGCUCGGGCUUGUGAUACUGGCCGUGCUCGCCGUGCUGGCGUGGUACACCGGCGUGCUCCUCCGGCGCUGCCUCGACAGCAAGGAAGGCCUCGAGACCUACCCGGACAUCGGCCACGCCGCGUUCGGCACGCCUGGCCGCAUCGUCAUCUCGAUAAUCCUGUACAUGGAACUGUAUGCUUGUUGCAUUGAGUAUCUGAUACUGGAGAGUGAUAAUCUAUCAAAGUUGUUCCCCAAUGCACACCUGACAAUAGGGGGCUUCAGCCUGGAUGCCCAUGUGUUAUUCGCAAUCCUUACGACGCUCGUUGUCAUGCCGACAACAUGGCUUCACGACCUCAGUUGUCUAAGCUUCAUUUCAGCUGGAGGAGUCGUCGCGUCGAUCGUCAUCGUCGCCUGCCUCUUUUGGGCAGGGCUUGUUGAUCAUGUUGGUGUCAACAAGAGCGAAGGGACGGCACUGAACCUCCCUGGGAUCCCCAUUGCCAUUGGCUUGUAUGGGUACUGCUACUCAGGGCAUGGGGUGUUCCCUAACAUCUACUCUUCUCUGAAGAAAAGCAACCAAUUCAACGCCGUUCUUUUCACAUGCAUCGCGCUAUCCACUGUUUUGUUCGCCGGUGCCGCGGUCAUGGGGUACAUAAUGUUUGGCGAAACCACGGAGUCUCAGUUCACACUGAACAUGCCCCCAAAUCUUAUGUCUUCCAAGAUUGCAGUCUGGACUACGGUGACAAAUCCAAUAACCAAAUAUGCACUUACCAUGACUCCUCUUGCCCUGAGUUUGGAAGAGCUGCUGCCUCCGAAUAGACAGACGUACGGGAACAUAAUUAUGCUCAGAUCAGCACUAGUGUUGUCUUCCCUUGUUGUUGCUCUAUCUGUUCCAUUCUUUGGACUUGUGAUGUCCCUAGUUGGGUCUCUUCUCACCAUGUUUGUGGCGUAUAUUCUACCUUGUGCAUGCUUUUUGGCCAUCCUAAGGAGUACAGUGACUUGGUAUCAGAUAGUACUAUGUGUGUUCAUCAUUGUCGUCGGUCUCUGUUGUGCGGGUAUUGGCACAUACUCCUCCCUUUCUAAGAUCAUCCAAAAUUAUCAGUAA